CUGACUCCUGGCUUUUCCUUAUCAUUGUGUCUCUUUCUGUUUCCCUUGACCUCGGCUAUUCCUGACUAUUCUUUGGUACGUUAUUCGGCCAUUCUAAGGUCCGGUAUAUGUUAUCUAUCAGUCCUCUGUGUUACACAAUUCUACAUGCUGGAUCAUUCUGUAACCCUGACAAUAUCUAAGCCGUUAGCUACUACCCAGAGAUGUCAGCUAUGCCCCUAUGGAGAAGAAAUGCCUGGCUCUGUUAUGGGCAUUAAAGAAACUCCAACCUUAC
This is a non-coding RNA of Pelobates cultripes (western spadefoot toad), 271 nucleotides long. NCBI's taxonomy places the organism in Eukaryota, Metazoa, Chordata, Amphibia, Anura, Pelobatidae. The record is from the annotation of a GenBank genome assembly.